Molecule: ribosomal RNA, 198 nt
Filed under: uncultured bacterium
Lineage: Bacteria
Description: partial 16S ribosomal RNA
Rfam family: Bacterial small subunit ribosomal RNA
Source: RNAcentral
AUUACUCCUACGGGAGGCAGCAGUAAGGAAUAUUGGUCAAUGGAGGCAACUCUGAACCAGCCAUGCCGCGUGAAGGAUGAAUGCGCUAUGCGUUGUAAACUUCUUUUGGGUGGGAAGAAAACUAUCAAUUUAUUGAUAGCUGACGGUACCAUCAGAAUAAGCACCGGCUAACUCCGUGCCAGCAGCCGCGGUAAUAAU